Long non-coding RNA from Salvia splendens (bonfire salvia), 1336 nucleotides. RefSeq lists it as uncharacterized. NCBI's taxonomy places the organism in Eukaryota, Viridiplantae, Streptophyta, Magnoliopsida, Lamiales, Lamiaceae. The record is from RefSeq and is a predicted model, not a curated record. The transcript is spliced from 4 exons.
UCUUGUCCUCCCUUCUUCCCGUGGACGUAGAUUUACUUCAGUAAAUCGAACCACGUAAAUUCUUUGUGUCAUAAUCUUCAUUCUCUACUAGCAUUUACUAAGAUCAGAAAUUCGCGGAUUCAUCAUUUGUCUUGAAUGAAUGGAUUCAAACAAAGAUUCAAGGCUCUGAAGUUUCUGGGACAGUUGAGGUUAAAUGAAAAUAGUUGAUAUGCUGGACAAUUCUUAAAUGAUGUUUCUUGUCUAAAGUCGCUGAAUUAUGUUCACUGUCUGGAUGAUAUUUAUAUACAAACUAUUUACCUUCCGUGCUUCCUAGUUUCGGAAUUAAUUGAGUGAUGCUCAGACUUCAGAGUGUCAGUAGAUUUCAUUCUAAAUAUGUUACUCAGGCUUCCGGUUAAUAACGUUUGUGCAAUUCAUUUCUGAAGCAUGUUGGAUGGUGGUCGCCGACUAUUAUUAGAGCUGAUGACCGUGAAGCUGUCCAUAUUCCGAACCAUAAAUUCACUAUGAAUAUUGUAUGAAAUCUCAGUCAAAAGACUCACUGGCGCAUUAAAACUCAUCUGGCGAUCAGUCAUUUAGAUGUUGGCAAAGUCAAUAAAAUUGUAGCAGAUAUGCGCAAGGUUCUGUCGAAGAAUCCACAAGUGGAACAACAGAAACUGCAUAGAAAAGAGUAUUCCUGGACAAUAUUGAUCCCGAAAAUCAGGCCCUAUUGGUUAGAUACUGGUGUCCUGCUUUGUGAAGACCUCUCGUUUUGAAGAAUAUUUGUGCGUUAAGGAAGCUAUUCUUCUAGACCUUCUAAGGGGUAAUUUCACACCACCGUGCUCGAUUAGCCACACCCAUCCGCACGGUUCAGAAAGUAUACAGAGAUGCCGAUUUGGAUGAUAUACCAUUUUCAGAUUCUCCUUUUUCCUGGGGAGCUACUUCAAAACAUCCAUUACUGUUGGUUGAGCCUUCCAAUAAAAUCAACGGGGAGGAUAAGAUCAAACCACACGUCCGAUCUACACAUAUAAAUGGGGAUGAAGAUGAAACGGCUACACCAAAAUCAACAAAGUCAUCUGCAGAUGGUAAAGGGGAUGAUACUAAAGGUGAAAAUAUCGAUACAAAGCCAAAAGAAACGGAAGUUGGAGACCAUAGUAGAAAAGAGGCACAAACGACAGAGGCCAAAGUUGGUGAGGAGUCUGGAAGAGGGACCAAGGAUGUGAAAUCAUCUCCAUGGGUGUCACGACCGCAUUUUCUAAGGAUAGAAAACACGGUUGAUCGCGACUUGGGGAGGAUUAAAGAAGCGGGGAAGAAAGGGGAAAAUCAACACAACUCAACCACAACCCGAAAUAAAUGGGAAUAG